CACGUAGGGUGCGGGCGUUGUCCGGAAUUAUUGGGCGUAAAGAGCUCGUAGGCGGUGUGUCGCGUCGGCCGUGAAAACCUGCAGCUUAACUGUGGGCUUGCGGUCGAUACGGGCAUCACUGGAGUUCGGCAGGGGAGACUGGAAUUCCUGGUGUAGCGGUGAAAUGCGCAGAUAUCAGGAGGAACACCGGUGGCGAAGGCGGGUCUCUGGGCCGAUACUGACGCUGAGGAGCGAAAGCGUGGGGAGCGAACAGG
RNAcentral lists this ribosomal RNA (254 nucleotides) under uncultured bacterium. Its description in RNAcentral is "partial 16S ribosomal RNA". It matches the Rfam family "Bacterial small subunit ribosomal RNA", at positions 524 to 776 of the family's 1533-position model. The record is from RNAcentral.